GGGCCAGGCCCGCAUGGGUCUCCAGGGCCGUGCUCAGGGGCGUGGCCUUUUGCAGUGGGGGCAUGGCUGCCGCCCGGCCCGCAGGCCAUGUGGCCCCCGCUGUUGCUGCUGCUGCUGCUGCUCCCGGCCGCCCCGGUCCCCACCGCCAAGGCCGCUCCCCUCCCAGAUGCUAACACCCAGGAAGGCCUUCAGAACCUGCUUCAAGGAGUCCAGGCUGGCGGAGACGGAGAGCUGCAGGCCGACUCACACCUGGCCCCGGGCUCUGGCUGUAAUAAUGGGGCUGUGGUGGCCACGCGACCAGAAAGCCGGGGAGGAAGACCUGCGGCUCCGUGAGAGGCAUCCAGGGCUGCAGGCCACGGCGACAGGCUCCGGGGAACAUGGGGCUUCCCCUGUUCCCUCCCAAGGAGUGUGGGCCUCAACGCAUUGACAGGGGACAGCUGUGUGCCCU
RNAcentral lists this long non-coding RNA (448 nucleotides) under Theropithecus gelada (gelada). RNAcentral describes it as "lncRNA (ENSTGEG00000002201.1)". The record is from RNAcentral. Lineage: Eukaryota; Metazoa; Chordata; Mammalia; Primates; Cercopithecidae.